UUUGACUGUAGGGGCAGGGUGAAAUUCCCGACCGGCGGUAACAGUAUGAACUGAAGCCCGCGAACUACUUCAUUGUAGUUGAUUUGGUGAGAAUCCAAAGCCGACAGUAAAGUCUGGAUGAAAUAUCAGUCAAA
RNAcentral lists this non-coding RNA (134 nucleotides) under Desulfuribacillus stibiiarsenatis. RNAcentral's name for it is "FMN riboswitch aptamer (RFN element)". It matches the Rfam family "FMN riboswitch aptamer (RFN element)". Rfam says of the family: The RFN element is a highly conserved domain that is found frequently in the 5'-untranslated regions of prokaryotic mRNAs that encode for flavin mononucleotide (FMN) biosynthesis and transport proteins. This element is a metabolite-dependent riboswitch that directly binds FMN in the absence of proteins. The record is from Rfam by way of RNAcentral. Lineage: Bacteria; Bacillati; Bacillota; Desulfuribacillia; Desulfuribacillales; Desulfuribacillaceae. RNAcentral also lists the same sequence under 1 other name.